GCCGCCGUAGCUAAGCCCGGUAUAGCGGCGGGCUGUUAACCCGUAGGUCCCGGGUUCAAAUCCCGGCGGCGGCG
This 74-nucleotide transfer RNA is filed under the name Thermoproteus tenax Kra 1. RNAcentral's name for it is "tRNA-Asn (GTT) (tRNA-Asn-GTT-1-1)". It matches the Rfam family "tRNA". Rfam says of the family: Transfer RNA (tRNA) molecules are approximately 80 nucleotides in length. Their secondary structure includes four short double-helical elements and three loops (D, anti-codon, and T loops). The record is from RNAcentral. Lineage: Archaea; Thermoproteati; Thermoproteota; Thermoprotei; Thermoproteales; Thermoproteaceae.